Molecule: ribosomal RNA, 832 nt
Filed under: uncultured bacterium
Lineage: Bacteria
Description: bacterial SSU rRNA
Rfam family: Bacterial small subunit ribosomal RNA
Source: RNAcentral
UGGAAAAAAACCUUAAGCUUUAACUUUGGGAAUUGCAUUUGAAACUUAAAUUUCCUAGAAGUUUUGAGAAGGGAGGUAGAAUUUCUUAGGUGUUAGCGGGUGAAAUGGCUAGAUUUCUAAGAGGAAUACCCAGGGGGGGAAGGCGGCCCCCCUGGACAAAAGACUGACAACUCAUGUACGAAAGCGUGGGGGAGCAAACAGGGAUUAGAUACCCUUGGUAGUCCAUGCUGUAAAACAAUGUCAAUUUGAAAGGUUUGUAGCCUUGAGUUAUAGCUUUCGUAGCUAACGCGUUAAAUUUGCCCGCCCUGGGGAGUACGGCCCGCAAGGUUAAAACUCAAAUGAAUUGACGGGGGCCCGCACAAGCGGUGGAGCAUGUGGUUUAAUUCGAUGCAACGCGAAAAACCUUACCUAUUCUUGACAUCCAAAGAAUAAAACAGAAAUGUUUUAGUGCCUUAGGGAACUUUGAGACAGGUGCUGCAUGGCUGUCGUCAGCUCGUGUUGUGAAAUGUUGGGUUAAGUCCCGCAACGAGCGCAACCCCUAUCCUUUGUUGCCAUCGAGUAAAGUCGGGAACUCAAAGGAGACUGCUGGUGAUAAACCGGAGGAAGGUGGGGACGACGUCAAGUCAUCAUGGCCCUUACGAAUAGGGCUACACACGUGCUACAAUGGCAUAUACAAAGAGAAGCGAUCUUGCAAAAGCUAGCAAAUCUCAUAAAGUAUGUCGUAGUUCGGAUUGGAGUCUGCAACUCGACUCCAUGAAGUCGGAAUCGCUAGUAAUCGUUGGUCAGAAUGCUACGGUGAAUACGUUCCCGGGCCUUGUCCUCGCCGCCCGUC